RNAcentral lists this long non-coding RNA (1506 nucleotides) under Sus scrofa (pig). RNAcentral's name for it is "lncRNA (ENSSSCG00050039661.1)". Lineage: Eukaryota; Metazoa; Chordata; Mammalia; Artiodactyla; Suidae. The record is from RNAcentral.
CGGGGGAGCAGGGGCAUCAUUCCCUGGCGCCGGGUCAGUUUCUAAGUUUGCAUCAUCCCCUUCAUUACGAGAGAGUUUGGGUUUCCAUUCCUGCCGGCGGGUCAAGAGGGAGGCAGCCGGGCUGCAAACUCGCUUGGCACAGCCUGGCACACACGACUGCUUAUUUAAACAGAAUAAUAAAGGCACCCGAGCGCCCGGGGCGCGGCCAAGCGGCGCGCAAGGCUGGGCUCCCGGCAGACCGGAAGGAACUGAUAAAGCGGGUGCUAAUGACACCCGCGCCCUCCCGGUUCGGAAGUGUCCUCCGAGCGCGGAUCAUUGAGAAAUACUGAAGGGGCAGAAUGGGGGUGAGGAAGCUUUUUGCACUCCACCACCUCUGGCGGCUGGGAAGACGUCAUCGCUUCCGCCCUACUUCCUCCUCCUGUUGGCGGCGGUGAGAAUCCAAUAUGGAGUAAAUCGGUGGAGUCGAGAGAUGGGGCUCGGACGGGGCGCCCUGCACCGCCUCCCAGGCGCACCUCCCCCGGCCUCCGACCGCUCCCCGGAACCGUGAUUGGCCCAGCCCCCCGGGGGCGACCCAAGGCUGAGCCCCCACCGGCUGCUGGCCCUCUCCCGCUCUCCGCAGUCCCCGCCGCUCCACGGAGAGCUUGUUUUUCUCCUCCUCUCCCCCACCGCCGUCCCCUGCCCAAAUCAUUCCCCUCUGCCCGCUUCCGAACCCCGAGCCCCCGCCCGCCUCGACCCUCGGCGCUGCGGCGCUCGCUCCCCCCGACCCAAGCUUGCCUGUGCACCCCUUCCUCCAGACCUCACCCCGCGCUCCGGUCACCCAGCUUCCCCUUCUGCCUUCUGCGGCGCCCCCUUCAUCUUUAGCACCCCCCCCGCCCCCACCAAAUCAGGCGAUCUCCGGAGAUGUGAAGAAGGGGGGUGAGCGGACAGGAAGAUGAAGGGAGCAAAGCUGCUCGCCGCGGGACAGGCGUCUAGGUGAACAGGAAAAUGACCGAAGAAACACACCCGGACGAGUAAGUUUGGCCGCGGGGUGGAACGAGGGUGUCCCGCGGGGGCAGCGUGGAGUCCGGGGCUGAGGACGCGGGCGGGGACGCUGGUUGGGUGAACUUGGCGUGGGGUGCAGCGAAUAGCUGGUCUGUGGGUUUAGGAUGCGAGAUUUGACCCCUUGUUGUUGAAGUGAGGAGGGGGCAAAAGCUGCUGCGGGCCGUUGGGGGCGCGCCUUGAGUCGGCGGGCUGGUGGCCGCUGCGGGGGCCAAGGGCGCGCGGGUGACCUCGGGGCUGUCCCCGCUCCCUCUCCGGGGACUCACAAACACCCCUCCCCCCGAGAUCCUCGGCGGCGGGAGCGGAAGACCUGACACCCCCGCUCCGGCUCCCCGGCGUCGGUGGGUUUUAACACAGUGACUUUGUGACUCUCCCGCCCCGCUGCUCGCCCGACGCUCCUUUUGGGAGCCCUCUGGGGCCCAGGCUCCGCCAUUUCGUUUUCUUGAAUCGCUCUCAUUUGCAUACCAC